Molecule: long non-coding RNA, 1584 nt
Filed under: Citrus x clementina
Lineage: Eukaryota; Viridiplantae; Streptophyta; Magnoliopsida; Sapindales; Rutaceae
Description: Citrus clementina (C. clementina) long non-coding RNA (CCLE_LNC004504)
Source: RNAcentral
AGUACUUUAAGAAAGUUGUUUUAGACAACAUUGCUCCAAAAUCCAAAUCGUAUUUUAAAGUUAAUACAAUUCAAUAAUCCUCAAGACUCUUUCUAGAUAACAUAAAAGAUGGUAUCUCUAUUUUAUUCUCGAUGAAACUGAACUAAUAAUUCAAAAGGGGUUUUGAGAAAAGCGUAUGAUGCUCUUUAUGUCAAGCCUGAGGGGAUGUUUCUAGUGAAUGAUGAAGUCGACGAUAUCAUAAUACUGUAUCUUUCGAAUCAUUAAGCACGUAAAAAAUAACCAUCAGAAUAAGAAAAGCUAGUUGCGAGUUCCCAUAACUCCAUGGGACAACAUGAUAAGGCCUCCUCCUAGUUUAAAUUUCAUGUAUUGUAUGAAAAUUUCAAAAAUUAGAAUUUUAGAAUUGCAGUUCCCAGAGCAACCAUAAAAUCAAGAGUCUAGCUAUGGUACCACAACAGCUGGAUCCAGCCAUUGGAUUCAGCUAUGGUGACCACUGUGGGCUGGAUUCAUAAGUGGUAUGGUACUACUGUGAUACCAUAAUUUUGUCCUAAAAUCAAUAAGUAGCCACUUUAGUUUGAGGGGGUCUAACAAACAUGGGCUAAAAAUAUGGGGAUGUAAUUGCCCAUGUAUUACUAUUUUUCUUGUGGAAUUUGAAGACUCAAUAAUUCUCAAAGUCUUUGCAUCUCCAUGUUAUGCACAAUGAAACUGAAACGAUCAUUCAAAUGAGUUUUUUUAUGAAAGCGAAUGACGCUCCCCGACUCAUUCCAUGAGGGCUGAUGAAGACGAUGGUAACAAAUUAUGACUUGAAUCAUUAAUCAUACAAAUUAACCAUCAGAAGAAGCAAAUGCGCUAGAUUGGUAGUUCCCAUAACUCCGUAAGGCAAACAUUAACAUCUCGCAGGGAAGGACAAGCAACAUGAUAUGGUCUCCUCCUAAUUUAACUAUUCGUGUGUUGUUUUGAAGUAAAUGAAUAUCUUCAAAAUUAGAAUUGCAAUUUCCAAAGCCCUAUAAAUCAGUAAGUUGCCAGCCCACUUUGGUCCGAGAGUCCACAAAUACGGGCUAUUGGGCAUGUUAAUGGGCCAUCUCUGACUACUUCUCUCCCUAGACUCUUUUACUUGUGGGGGUUUAUCAAACUCUUUGCUCUUUGGACAUCUUCAGGGACGAAAUAAAGAUAUAAAGUUUUAAUUUAUUUUCAUUAAAAAUUUGAUGGAUUCACUUCACAACAAUGCUUCGCUAAUCAGCAAAACCCUCUAAUGGUUGGUGUACGGCUCUCUUCUCUUCAAAGAAUUGUUGUGGUAUUUACUUCGUCCAAAUAUGAAUAAAACAAUAAUCACUCGUUUCUUAGUCUUAAAAGAUUCGUAUAUUCAAGAAAUAUUAAAAUUCAUAAAUAGAAUUUACUUGAAAUUUUCAAAUACGUUGUAAACUUUCCUAAUUUUGUUAGAUUUGGGUUGUAAAACAUUCACAAAAUAUGACCUAGCUGAUAUUAUAUUUCUAUAGUCACGGCUUAAAUAAAUUUAAUUAAAUUAUUCGUAUUAUUUUUUUUUUCAUGUUUGUUUUGUCUAAUACUGAAAAUAAAUUAUUUCUAUAU